AAAAUGGCCUUUGUAUACACAGCCUGAUGUGAGCAAGAAGUAGGCCGAGCAGACUCAUUUUCAGAUGCAGACAAAGAAGGGACCGGGAGAAAAAGAACCCAUCUUAGGAUGGAGACUGAAGACGGAAGCCACACACAGAUGAAUCUGGUCACAAGAAAUGAGACAAGUUUGGGACCAUUAAGAAUAAAGCUAUGCA
Myotis lucifugus (little brown bat) is the source of this 196-nucleotide long non-coding RNA. RefSeq lists it as uncharacterized. NCBI's taxonomy places the organism in Eukaryota, Metazoa, Chordata, Mammalia, Chiroptera, Vespertilionidae. The transcript has 3 exons. The record is from RefSeq and is a predicted model, not a curated record.